GGGUCGGACAGUCGCGGGCGCAGCGCCGAAAGGCCGCGCAUGAGGAAAGUCCGGGCUCCACAGGGCAAGGAUAACAGGUAACGCCUGCCGGGGGUGACCCCAGGAAAAGUGCAACAGAGAGAUACCGCUGCGGUUUUUCGCAGUAAGGGUGGAAAGGUGCGGUAAGAGCGCACCCGACGGCUCGGAAGUGUCCGUCGAUGUAAACUCUAUCCGGAGCAACACCGCAAAGAGAGCAACGCUUGCCCGGCGGCUCUCGAAUGGGUGGCUGGAGCGUAUCGGCAACGGUACGCCUAGAUAGAUGACUGUCAAGACAGAACCCGGCUUACAGACCCGAUC
Molecule: RNase P RNA, 336 nt
Filed under: pig gut metagenome
Description: Bacterial RNase P class A
Rfam family: Bacterial RNase P class A
About the family: Ribonuclease P (RNase P) is a ubiquitous endoribonuclease, found in archaea, bacteria and eukarya as well as chloroplasts and mitochondria.
Source: RNAcentral